UUUUGUUAAAUUAGUUACAAAGUUAAAAUUAAAGGGUACUAAACUGAAUAUUCGAUAAAUCUAUGUAGAGUAUCUGAAGUUUUUUGUAUAUAAUUUAACGAAAUAUUAACGAAUGAAAAAAAAUUAGUGACAAAAUUAAAACUAAAUGGUACUAAAAUAAAUAUUCGAUAAACCUAGUGUUACGCCCCGGAUUACUACGUUUCCUCGGGCACGCCAACAGACCCGUCGUAUAUGGAGAAAUUUUUUAUAUAUACGAAGCGAUAGCUGUACCUGUAAACAAGUCAUAGCUAUAACCAGAAGUAUAGAGCUGCUAAAACUAAAACAUAUAUAUAAAAACAUACU
Molecule: long non-coding RNA, 342 nt
Filed under: Ananas comosus (pineapple)
Lineage: Eukaryota; Viridiplantae; Streptophyta; Magnoliopsida; Poales; Bromeliaceae
Description: long non-coding RNA (ACOM_LNC020844)
Source: RNAcentral